CAUAAUUCAAAAGAUAUGUAUAAUAGAUAACAAGUCAUUGAUUUAUAAAUGACCUUGAGUUUUGAAGCAAACAACAUAUUAAUGUUUUAUAGUGUAUUCUAGCACUUUAAAAGUAGUACUAUUACUUUUAUUCUUAUCUUUUAAUUUUCGUAUAAAGUUUUCAUUAAUGUCUUUUACUUUCUUAUUAAUAAAUAAUAACUAUAGCAAAUAUACUACCAC
RNAcentral lists this long non-coding RNA (219 nucleotides) under Salvia miltiorrhiza (redroot sage). Its description in RNAcentral is "long non-coding RNA (SMIL_LNC013597)". Lineage: Eukaryota; Viridiplantae; Streptophyta; Magnoliopsida; Lamiales; Lamiaceae. The record is from RNAcentral.